Molecule: long non-coding RNA, 831 nt
Organism: Ochotona princeps (American pika)
Lineage: Eukaryota; Metazoa; Chordata; Mammalia; Lagomorpha; Ochotonidae
Exons: 2
Source: RefSeq, a predicted model, not a curated record
CUGCUCCACAGCAGCAUCAAGCAAAAUAGCCGAUGUCAUUGCCAGCCCCAUGAUGAACUCACAUGAGAGACCCAGAUGCAGUUCUUGGCUCUUGGGUUCAGCUGGCCCCACUCUGGCAGCCAUAGCCACUUAGGGAGUGAGUCAGUGGUUGGAAGGCUUCUCAGGUGAGUAUCGGUAGCACAAGUACUUCCCUGUCACAUUAGCAGGAAGCUGGAUCAGAAACAGAGUAGUUGGGACUCCAACUGGUGCUUUGCUAUACCCGAUGCUGGAGUUGCAAACAUCAGCUUCACUCACUGUACUACAACACAGCUGGCUCUGCCAGAAGCCUCACCUUUCAUAUUUGAAAAUACAAGUAAUGAAUUCUUGCAAGCUGAAUGAAGGAGGAUAAAGAAAAGACACAGAGAAUCAAAAGUCAGGGUGAGGAUGGCCAAGGGUUGUAAUGACAGUUCCUGGAGAGGCUGGGAUGUGGAUUGGAAUUGUCUAUUUCUGGUUGAGAUGAAAUCACAGGAACUGACUUGAUGCCUACCCCCAAGACAAAGUACACUGAUGUGCUGGACACCAGGCAAUGAAGAACAGUGGUCCGGGAGUGUGUGGAGCAAACGAGGAGGUCCUGCAACCACCUGCCCCACCCCUGCCCUGCCUACACUGCGUGGGAUUUCCAGAAUGCUACACAGCCAAACUGCUAGGAUGAAGAGAGAGGAGAUGACAAAUGAUGAACAUUGAGAAUAAGAGAAAUAGUAUUACUAUAAGUUCUCCAGCUACUGACGGGAAAAUAUGGAGAUAUUAUGAACUUUGUGCUAGUAAUUUUGGAAAACUUAGAUGAAAUGGAAA